RNAcentral lists this long non-coding RNA (470 nucleotides) under Lathyrus oleraceus (garden pea). RNAcentral's name for it is "Pisum sativum (pea) long non-coding RNA (PSAT_LNC027550)". The record is from RNAcentral. Lineage: Eukaryota; Viridiplantae; Streptophyta; Magnoliopsida; Fabales; Fabaceae.
UCAGCUUUAGAAAGUUGCAAAAUUUAGAGAGAGAAGGAAGCAAUUUUCCUUGCGGUUAAGUCAUAGCAUUAUCAAGUCACCUUUUAACUAUUUUUUCUUCCAUCUUCCUCCAGCAGUUAUGAUCUUCGGGCAAUAUCAAUAUGGUUUGUAUAAAAUAUGGUUAGUAUAAGUGGGUUUUUGUUUAAGAAAUUUAAUUCUAAAAACAAAGUAUGACGAGUACAAUGAAAAAAAAAGUGUUAGUUGUUCAUGUGGAUUAUCAUGUCAAUUGCAACAUAUGUAUAGAUUGUAGAAAUAAAAGAAAAUUGCUCAGCACCCAUAGUUCAUUUGUUCAUUUAUAUAAAGUAGCACGAUAUGUAUAUUUUUUUAACUGACAAAAAAAUAUAAUUAUUUUUCUCAAAGAUAAAAGUUCCUAAAUCUUGAUUAUGUAUUAUAGUCAUUCCCAAUUCAUCUUAACCGUUAAGAUAAUUUCC